This 403-nucleotide ribosomal RNA is filed under the name uncultured bacterium. RNAcentral describes it as "bacterial SSU rRNA". It matches the Rfam family "Bacterial small subunit ribosomal RNA", at positions 29 to 431 of the family's 1533-position model. The record is from RNAcentral.
AUUGAACGCUGGCGGCGUGCCUAACACAUGCAAGUCGAGCGGUAACAGGUGUAGCAAUACAUGCUGACGAGCGGCGAACGGGUGAGUAAUGCUUCGGAAUCUACCCAAUGGUGGGGAAUAACCAGCCGAAAGGUUGGCUAAUACCGCAUACGUCCCACGGGAGAAAGCAGGGGAUCGCAAGACCUUGCGCCAAUGGAUGAGCCGAAGUCGGAUUAGCUAGUUGGAGGGUAACGGCCUACCAAGGCGACGAUCCGUAGCUGGUCUGAGAGGACGACCAGCCACACUGGGACUGAGACACGGCCCAGACUCCUACGGGAGGCAGCAGUGGGGAAUAUUGGACAAUGGGGGAAACCCUGAUCCAGCGACGCCGCGUGUGUGAAGAAGGCCUGCGGGGUUGUAAAGC